CCUACGGGAGGCAGCAGUAAGGAAUAUUGGUCAAUGGACGAAAGUCUGAACCAGCCAUGCCGCGUGAAGGAUUAAGGCCCUCUGGGUUGUAAACUUCUUUUAUCUGGGACGAAAAAAGGGUAUUCUUACUCACUUGACGGUACCAGAGGAAUAAGCACCGGCUAACUCCGUGCCAGCAGCCGCGGUAAUACGGAGGGUGCAAGCGUUAUCCGGAUUUACUGGGUUUAAAGGGUGCGUAGGUGGGCUUGUAAGUCAGUGGUGAAAUCUCCGGGCUUAACCCGGAAACUGCCAUUGAUACUAUAGGUCUUGAAUUAUCUGGAGGUAAGCGGAAUAUGUCAUGUAGCGGUGAAAUGCUUAGAUAUGACAUAGAACACCAAUUGCGAAGGCAGCUUACUACGGAUAUAUUGACACUGAGGCACGAAAGCGUGGGGAUCAAACAGGAUUAGAUACCCUGGUAGUCCACGCCCUAAACGAUGGAUACUCGACAUCAGCGAUACACUGUUGGUGUCUGAGCGAAAGCAUUAAGUAUCCCACCUGGGAAGUACGAUCGCAGAUUGAAACUUAAAUGAAUUGACGG
RNAcentral lists this ribosomal RNA (577 nucleotides) under uncultured bacterium. Its description in RNAcentral is "bacterial SSU rRNA". It matches the Rfam family "Bacterial small subunit ribosomal RNA", at positions 338 to 916 of the family's 1533-position model. The record is from RNAcentral.